GACGAACGCUGGCGGCGUGCUUAACACAUGCAAGUCGAACGAUGAAGCCUAGCUUGCUAGGUGGAUUAGUGGCGAACGGGUGAGUAAUACGUGAGUAACCUACCUUUAACUCUGGGAUAAGCCUGGGAAACUGGGUCUAAUACCGGAUACGACCAAUCUCCGCAUGGGGUGUUGGUGGAAAGCGUUAUGUAGUGGUUAUAGAUGGGCUCACGGCCUAUCAGCUUGUUGGUGAGGUAACGGCUCACCAAGGCGACGACGGGUAGCCGGCCUGAGAGGGUGACCGGCCACACUGGGACUGAGACACGGCCCAGACUCCUACGGGAGGCAGCAGUGGGGAAUAUUGCACAAUGGGCGCAAGCCUGAUGCAGCGACGCCGCGUGAGGGAUGACGGCCUUCCGGUUGUAAACCUCUGUUAGCAGGGAAGAAGAAAGAUUGACCGUACCUGCAGAGAAAGCGCCGGCUAACUACGUGCCAGCAGCCGCGGUAAUACGUAGGGCGCGAGCGUUGUCCGGAAUUAUUGGGCGUAAAGAGCUUGUAGGCGGUUUGUCGCGUCUGCUGUGAAGGCCGGGGCUUUACUCCGUGUAUUGCAGUGGGUACGGGCAGACUAGAGUGCAGUAAGGGAGACUGGAAUUCCUGGUGUAGCGGUGGAAUGCGCAGAUAUCAGGAGGAACACCGAUGGCGAAGGCAGGUCUCUGGGCUGUAACUGACGCUGAGAAGCGAAAGCAUGGGGAGCGAACAGGAUUAGAUACCCUGGUAGUCCAUGCCGUAAACGUUGGGCACUAGGUGUGGGGAACAUUCCACGUUUUCCGCGCCGUAGCUAACGCAUUAAGUGCCCCGCCUGGGGAGUACGGCCGCAAGGCUAAAACUCAAAGAAAUUGACGGGGGCCCGCACAAGCGGCGGAGCAUGCGGAUUAAUUCGAUGCAACGCGAAGAACCUUACCAAGGCUUGACAUAUACUGGACCGCAUCAGAGAUGGUGUUUCCCUUCGGGGCUGGUAUACAGGUGGUGCAUGGUUGUCGUCAGCUCGUGUCGUGAGAUGUUGGGUUAAGUCCCGCAACGAGCGCAACCCUCGUUCUAUGUUGCCAGCACGUAAUGGUGGGGACUCAUAGGAGACUGCCGGGGUCAACUCGGAGGAAGGUGGGGAUGACGUCAAAUCAUCAUGCCCCUUAUGUCUUGGGCUUCACGCAUGCUACAAUGGCCGGUACAGAGGGUUGCGAUACUGUGAGGUGGAGCUAAUCCCUAAAAGCCGGUCUCAGUUCGGAUUGGGGUCUGCAACUCGACCCCAUGAAGUCGGAGUCGCUAGUAAUCGCAGAUCAGCAACGCUGCGGUGAAUACGUUCCCGGGCCU
RNAcentral lists this ribosomal RNA (1347 nucleotides) under uncultured bacterium. RNAcentral describes it as "bacterial SSU rRNA". It matches the Rfam family "Bacterial small subunit ribosomal RNA", at positions 28 to 1381 of the family's 1533-position model. The record is from RNAcentral.